AAUAAGUGCAGUUUUGCACUAUUCAUGUCCAACGUUUGACCGUUCGUUUUAUUUGAAAUUUUUUUAUGAUUAGCAUUUUUAUUGUUAUUAGAUGAUAAAACAUGAAUAAUACUUUAUGAGUGACUAAUUUUUUUUAUUUUUUUCAUAAAUUUUCAAAUAAGACGGAAGGUCAAACGUUGGACACGGAUACCCAUUGUUGUACUUAUU
Oryza glumipatula is the source of this 207-nucleotide non-coding RNA. Lineage: Eukaryota; Viridiplantae; Streptophyta; Magnoliopsida; Poales; Poaceae. The record is from Rfam.